GAUGAACGCUGGCGGCGUGCCUAAUACAUGCAAGUCGACCGAACAGACGAGGAGCUUGCUCCUCUGCCGUUAGCGGCGGACGGGUGAGUAACACGUGGAUAACCUACCUAUAAGACUGGGAUAACUUCGGGACACCGGAGCUCAUACCCGAUAAUAUAUUGACCCGCAUGGUUCAAUAGUGAAAGACGGUUUUGCUGUCACUUAUCGAUGGAUCCGCGCCGCAUUAGCUAGUUGGUGAGGUAACGACUUCCCACGGCGACGAUGCGUAGCCGACCUGGGCGGGUGAUGGGCCACACUGGAACUGAGACACCGUCCAGACGCCUACGGGAGGCAGCAGUAGGGAAUCUUCCGCAAUGGGCGAAAGCCUGACGGAGCAACGCCGCGUGAGUGAUGAGGGUCUUCGGAGAGUAAAGCUCUGUAAUUAGGGAAGAACAAAUGUGUAAGUAACCAGGCACGUCUUGACGGUAGCUAAAAAGAAAGGCGCGGCUAACUACGUG
This 497-nucleotide ribosomal RNA is filed under the name uncultured bacterium. Its description in RNAcentral is "partial 16S ribosomal RNA". It matches the Rfam family "Bacterial small subunit ribosomal RNA", at positions 28 to 507 of the family's 1533-position model. The record is from RNAcentral.